UAGGGAAUCUUCCGCAAUGGGCGAAAGCCUGACGGAGCAACGCCGCGUGAGUGAUGAAGGUCUUCGGAUUGUAAAACUCUGUUAUUAGGGAAGAACAUACGUGUAAGUAACUAUGCACGUCUUGACGGUACCUAAUCAGAAAGCCACGGCUAACUACGUGCCAGCAGCCGCGGUAAUACGUAGGUGGCAAGCGUUAUCCGGAAUUAUUGGGCGUAAAGCGAGCGCAGGCGGUUAGAUAAGUCUGAAGUUAAAGGCUGUGGCUUAACCAUAGUACGCUUUGGAAACUGUUUAACUUGAGUGCAAGAGGGGAGAGUGGAAUUCCAUGUGUAGCGGUGAAAUGCGUAGAUAUAUGGAGGAACACCGGUGGCGAAAGCGGCUCUCUGGCUUGUAACUGACGCUGAGGCUCGAAAGCGUGGGGAGCAAACAGGAUUAGAUACCCUGGUAGUCCACGCCGUAAACGAUGAGUGCUAGGUGUUAGACCCUUUCCGGGGUUUAGUGCCGAAGCUAACGCAUUAAGCACUCCGCCUGGGGAGUACGACCGCAAGGUUG
Molecule: ribosomal RNA, 549 nt
Filed under: uncultured bacterium
Lineage: Bacteria
Description: bacterial SSU rRNA
Rfam family: Bacterial small subunit ribosomal RNA
Source: RNAcentral